ACAUGAGUUAAAAUUUUUAGAAUGAUUGUUACUCUCCAAUAGAUUCAAUUAGAGACUUUAUUGUACCCCAAAUUUGUUCAGUGAGUGCACCAGACAAGAGUCCUUCUUCCCUCAGAAGUCUAAUCUCUUAAUUGAUCUUCCAAAUAAAAGCUCUAAUUUAAAGGUCUCUUGUAUUAUGUAUAGGCAGAAAUCAUUCCCUAUAGCUUUCACAGAAGCAGUCAUUCACCCAUUAGGAUGAUUUGUCCCAUCGCUUUAGAAGCUUGAACAAUUGAGAGCAAGACUUUCCCCUGAAAGGUGUUAGUUAAUUAUGAUUUGUAUCUCUAGCUCUCUUCAAGUAUAGGGAGUUACUAUUCUAGAAUCCCCAUAGACACUCUCUGCAGAAGCAACGGAAUCUGUCUUCACUUAUAUCUUGGUGUAAGUUCUGAUUAAAACUCCUUUACAGCAAGUGACAGCAUUCCAACUGAAUUGAUGUUAAUGUGAUUUAAUUAUAAUGAUCUCAAACACUGACAAUUUGUUGUGACUCUUUCACAGGUAAUCAGAAAACGAUUAUAAAAGAAAGGCAAGAAAUGCCUCUUUGUUGAAAAAGAGACCACUGGCCAUUUUAGGAGAUACUUCAUUGGAAAAGAAAAGAAAAGAAAAGAAAAGAAAAGAAAAGAAAAGAAAAGAAAAGAAAAGAAAAGAAAAAGAUUCAUAUCAAAUACACAAUCAAGCAAAAAAUAAUGUUAUUAGAGUUCUUAAGCCUUUCAAAGUUGCUACAAAACUAUAUAAUGUCAAAAUAAUGAAGAUAAGCAGUGUUCUUACAAUUAAAAUGAUCACUUGCUUCUUUUGAAGAAAAAAUAUUAUUAAUAUUGUCUUCAGGAUGAAUAUUAAUAUUAAAUUUAACAUCUUUCCCUUAUAUAUCAUAAAUUAUUAUAAUUUUGAUUCCCUGCAUAAAAUUACUUUCUUAAAGAUUAUAUAAAAUUGGUCUUACUCAAUUGGAAUAAUCUUUUUUUACUCAAUUAAAAUUUUUUUUCAAUUAUGUAUAGAAACUAUUUCCCCCUCUUUCCAUACUGAAGAAGGUAGGUAAAAUGAUAUAGUUUAUACAUAUGUUAUCAUAUAAUACACAUUUCCCUGUUUGUCAUAUUGUUAAACAUUAUAUAUUGCUUUCAUUAGAAGAAACUUCAGGGAGGAAAAAAAGUGAAGAAUGACAAAUUUCAGUCUUCAUUCGGACACCAUCUGUGGUUCUGAAUAUCUUUUUUCAUCAUAAAUCCCUUGGAGUUUUCCUGUAUCCUUGCAUUGUUGAUAGUAAAGUCAUUCAGAGCUGAUCAUACAUUAAUGUUAGUACUGUGUAUAUAUUGCACUGGUUCUGCUCAUGCUGCAUCAUUUAAUAUGUCUUUCCAAGUUUUUUUGAUCAUCUUAUCAUUUCUUAGAGCACAAUAGUAUUCCAUUGCAAUCACAUACAACAACUUGUUCAACCAUUACUAAACUGAUAGACAUACCUUAAGUUUUCAGUUCUUUGCCACCAUAAAGAGCUACUAUAAAUAUUUUUGAACACAUAGUUUCUUUUCCAUUUUCCUUAUUUCGAAUAUUUUAAGCUGAUAAAAGUUGAAGAGGUUGAAGGUACCUUAGAAAUGUUCUAGCCCUUUGGCAUCAAAUUCAAAUAAAAAUAGAGCCAUUAAUCCA
This 1662-nucleotide long non-coding RNA is filed under the name Monodelphis domestica (gray short-tailed opossum). RNAcentral's name for it is "lncRNA (ENSMODG00000045280.1)". The record is from RNAcentral. Lineage: Eukaryota; Metazoa; Chordata; Mammalia; Didelphimorphia; Didelphidae.